AAAUUUCUUUGAACUAAUAAAUAAAUUACAAAGAACAACACAUUUUCAAUCCAUAAACACUGAGGUUGGAUCCAAGAUGAUCAUGGUUAACAAAUUACAAUUAUCAAAACAAAACUAGUUUUUUUUCCAGUUUAUCUGUAAUAUAUCACAUGUCUUACUUUCUGAUAUAUAUUCAACUUCAAAUAUUAUGAACUUUUCCUGUUUUUGAUUUUCCUCAUUAAUGUGCAUGUUUAAGCAUAUUUGACAUUUAAGGAAUGACUGUAAUAUUUUUUUCUGUCUAUUCGAAAUAACAUAAAAAAAUGUGGUGCACACUGAAUAACGCGCGUAGCGGGUUAUUUAACAGUGUGCACCACAUUUUUUAUGUUAUUUCGAAUAGACAGAAAAAAUAUUACAGUCAUUUCUUAUAAUUUAAUUCUAAAUUCCAUUUUAACCAUAGAAAACCAUGAAAAAACGUUGAUGACGUCACGGUCACAUGACUAAAUUAUGUCUAUGGGCUCAUAACAAAAUAACAUCAGCCAAUCAGAAGACGCAUUACAUCCAAAAUUAAAUUAUUUAAAAAUAAAUUUCAUAGGACUAAAACAUAGAUAUUAAAGUAUGAAUAACCAAAAACUCUAAAAAUUGAAAUUAGAAAUGUCACAAAAAGUAGGACACACACACUAUUAGCAUACAAAACACACAGUAUCAUAAUAGUUUUGACAUUUGUCAAGAGAAAUAAAGCCUGAAUCAAAAUGUCAUAUCAAUUAAUGUUCAUAUACUGAGGCUAUUUUCCAAGAUAACUAAUAAUUAUAGAAAAUUAAGAUUUAAGUAUAUAUUUUUUUAGUUGACAGGGCAAAUAACUGUUCACUUGCACUCAAUUUCUCCAUUUGCUAAACAAUACAGUAUCGUUCAUUUGUACAAACAAAAUUAACAAAAUGUCAGGAUGUCUGAGAUGUAUGCGCAAUUUUCAAUGAAAAUAUAUAUAAGAUCAUAAACAUGAAAACUAAGUAAGAAGUUAAUCUAUAUAUUAUCAAACAAAGGACCUCGACUGUAUACUAUAACUUCAAACUCACUCUGGUAUAUGACUAUGGUAUAAAUUAUAGUUUGACCUUUACAACAAUGACAACUGAAUUCAAUCAUGAACAUGGACUUGACCUAAGCCUUUAGAGAAUUACACAAAAAUAAAAAUAAAAAAACAUUUAAUUUAUUAUUCAAUCCUUAUAUAUUUUUUAUCAUUCAAUCUUAUCUAACUUGAAAACAAGUUCAGGGACCCCUCUUUUUUAAAAUGUCAUUUGAUUUGAUUACGUAAGAAGAUUAUGUGUGCCAAUUUUCAUGAAAACGCAAAUAGUGCAAUUGCUUUUAAUUUGAUAAAUAUACAGCAAAAAUUAUGUUUUUUUCUCCAUUCGUGAACAUUUGAUAUAUGAGAGUUAUUUGAAAAACAAAUUGCACAAAUUUAAAAGACAUUUUAAUAAA
This 1449-nucleotide long non-coding RNA is filed under the name Mytilus galloprovincialis (Mediterranean mussel). Lineage: Eukaryota; Metazoa; Mollusca; Bivalvia; Mytilida; Mytilidae. The record is from RNAcentral.